Corticium candelabrum is the source of this 534-nucleotide long non-coding RNA. RefSeq lists it as uncharacterized. The record is from RefSeq and is a predicted model, not a curated record. NCBI's taxonomy places the organism in Eukaryota, Metazoa, Porifera, Homoscleromorpha, Homosclerophorida, Plakinidae. The transcript is spliced from 3 exons.
CUUUGUUCUGCGUUGUGAUUUUUCCAAGACUUUGGAGGCAAAAACAACGUAUUCAGACGUUUCAUACGUGUUUUUGCUUCGUAUGCAUCAUUUGAGGCCGAUGCGAUGGAGAACGAGUGAGAUAUUCCGUUUGUGAAGACAAUGACGCGCCACGCAGUAGGUUUGGCCGUUAGCUGUUGGGGAGAAUUUGAGUUAUGCCCAUAGUAACGGCACGUUGUCUGUUGCUAUGGCUAUGUACCCGUAUGUUUGCUCUCCAGACGACGAUGCGAUGCACCAGAAAGCAGAUCUUCUCGAUGAUGAAGACAGCGGCGACUCAAUUAGUGUAGCGUAGACAGGAAGUUGAUAUGAACGUAUCAAAACAAUCAUCAAUAGCUACGAGACUUGUAUCAUUCGAAAGCGCAAUUAACAGGCUUUUCAACUGUGUAUGUAUUAUAAUUUUUGCAUGUAUAAUGUGGCUACACUUGCGAAUAAUACAGGUAAUCAACUGUAGUUACGUGCGCGCUAGGUAAUUAGUUUUAUUAGUAAAUUCUUGUA